ACAGCCACAUCACGUUGAAACACUGGUUUCCGUAAGAACACCGAAGUUAAGCAAUGUCAAUCCUAGUCAGUACAUAGGUAACUGCUUGGGAAUACCAGGUGCUGUAAG
Non-coding RNA from Acanthosepion pharaonis, 108 nucleotides. NCBI's taxonomy places the organism in Eukaryota, Metazoa, Mollusca, Cephalopoda, Sepiida, Sepiidae. The record is from the annotation of a GenBank genome assembly.